UUAUCCUUCACCCUUUCAAUUUCCCUUCUCCCUAAUAUACAUUCGUUGAAUGUAAGGCAGCCAAAUCGAAUGUCCUUCCAUUUUCCAUCUGCAAUCUUCAAUGAUGGAGAGGGAAACAGAUGUGAGAGUAGGGGAGAAUUCCACCGGUCACCACCGUUGAUUGAAUAUAUAUCGGUUGACAAGUUCUGGGUCUUGUUCUGCUUUUUCACAGCUUUCAAUUUGCGUUUUUAACCCUAAAGAAUAAAGAAAACAGGGGUCACACGUAUCAUACGAGUCAAGAACUGCAAUGGAAACCACCUGUAGGAGUUACUCUCGAAACAUGGAAGACGAAUAUUAAAUGUUUAUCCGUCACAUGAACCCGCCACGAGGGUAACGAAUCAGAGAUGUUUUACAACACCGGUCACCAUCACGGUUACCAGCUAAACAAGGGGUACAGUGCGUUCACCUUUUGUUCAAUGGUUGUUGAUUCGUUACACCAGUCAGGCAUUGUUAUUCUUAUCAUUGAAUAUAUUUUUUUAAACUAAGGUACAGGUUGGCUAAGUUCUUACUCACUGUCAUGUGUGUGAUACAUUUUAUAGGCUAAUCAGAGAAUCAAGUAUGAAUAAUCAAAGUGGGGACCGCUCAUUUUUGACUAUCUAGAAGGUUGUCUCCGCCACAAAGAAGAGAUGUUAUAUUUGAAGCCACAAAGCAGAGAUGUUAUAUUUGAAGCGGCCAGGGCAAUAACGGAACUAAAAGGUAACAGAAUAUUCUAAAUAAAAGAAUCCUUGAUUCCUCUUGGUGACAACUCAGGCUCUUCAAGCAUCUCACUUAAGGAUGACAUUUCCGGUUGGGUUUAUUUAGUUGGCUCUUAUAGUAUAUCAUUUGUUUUCAGUCUGGUUAGUCAAAGGUCUCUAACAUUCUUGUUAUUGAUUUCUGUACUAAUAUAUGUAUGCACAUGUUUUAGUAUUACACACCGUUCAGGUGUAAAUAAUAGAAUAUCUAAUGGCAUUGAUGGCAGCAGUUAAAAACUUACCCCACCGUGAAGUGCGGGUGAUUUUAUAUAUAUACACAACU
Helianthus annuus (common sunflower) is the source of this 1053-nucleotide long non-coding RNA. RefSeq lists it as uncharacterized. The record is from RefSeq and is a predicted model, not a curated record. The transcript has 5 exons. NCBI's taxonomy places the organism in Eukaryota, Viridiplantae, Streptophyta, Magnoliopsida, Asterales, Asteraceae.